Molecule: ribosomal RNA, 460 nt
Filed under: uncultured bacterium
Lineage: Bacteria
Description: partial 16S ribosomal RNA
Rfam family: Bacterial small subunit ribosomal RNA
Source: RNAcentral
CCUACUGGUGGCAGCAGUGAGGAAUAUUCGUCAAUGGGCGAGAGCCUGAACCAGCAAAGUCGCGUGAAGGAUGAAGGAUCUAUGGUUUGUAAACUUCUUUUAUAUGGGAAUAAAGUGAGGAACGUGUUUCUUUUUGUAUGUACCAUAUGAAUACGCAUCGGCUAACUCCGUGCCAGCAGCCGCGGUAAUACGGAGGAUGCGAGCGUUAUCCGGAUUUAUUGGGUUUAAAGGGUGCGUAGGUGGUUAAUUAAGUCAGCGGUGAAAGUUUGUGGCUCAACCAUAAAAGUGCCGUGGAAACUGGUUGACUUGAGUAUAUGUGAGGAAGGCGGAAUGCGUGGUGUAGCGGUGAAAUGCAUAGAUAUCACGCAGAACACCGAUUGCGAAGGCAGCUUACUAAACUAUAACUGACACUGAAGCACGAAAGCGUGGGGAGCAAACAGGAUUAGAUACCCGUGUAGUC